AGCAGCGUGGUUCAGUGGUAAGAGCCCGGGCUUAGGAGUCAGCGGUCAUGGGUUUGAAUCCCAUCUCUGCUC
This 72-nucleotide transfer RNA is filed under the name Ornithorhynchus anatinus (platypus). It matches the Rfam family "tRNA". From Rfam's summary of the family: Transfer RNA (tRNA) molecules are approximately 80 nucleotides in length. Their secondary structure includes four short double-helical elements and three loops (D, anti-codon, and T loops). The record is from Rfam by way of RNAcentral. Lineage: Eukaryota; Metazoa; Chordata; Mammalia; Monotremata; Ornithorhynchidae.